UACGUAGGGUGCAAGCGUUGUCCGGAAUUAUUGGGCGUAAAGAGCUCGUAGGCGGUUUGUCGCGUCGAAUGUGAAAACCCGGGGCUCAACCCCGGGCCUGCAUUCGAUACGGGCAGACUAGAGUUCGGUAGGGGAGUCUGGAAUUCCUGGUGUAGCGGUGAAAUGCGCAGAUAUCAGGAGGAACACCAAUGGCGAAGGCAGCUCACUGGGACGGUAUUGACGCUGAGACGCGAAAGCGUGGGGAGCAAACAGG
RNAcentral lists this ribosomal RNA (253 nucleotides) under uncultured bacterium. Its description in RNAcentral is "partial 16S ribosomal RNA". It matches the Rfam family "Bacterial small subunit ribosomal RNA", at positions 524 to 776 of the family's 1533-position model. The record is from RNAcentral.